AGAGUUUGAUCCUGGCUCAGAUUGAACGCUGGCGGCAUGCCUUACACAUGCAAGUCGAACGGCAGCACGAGAGCUUGCUCUUGGUGGCGAGUGGCGAACGGGUGAGUAAUAUAUCGGAACGUACCCUAGAGUGGGGGAUAACGCAGCGAAAGUUGCGCUAAUACCGCAUACGAUCUACGGAUGAAAGUGGGGGAUCGCAAGACCUCAUGCUCAUGGAGCGGCCGAUAUCUGAUUAGCUAGUUGGUAGGGUAAAAGCCUACCAAGGCUUCGAUCAGUAGCUGGUCUGAGAGGACGACCAGCCACACUGGAACUGAGACACGGUCCAGACUCCUACGGGAGGCAGCAGUGGGGAAUUUUGGACAAUGGGCGCAAGCCUGAUCCAGCAAUGCCGCGUGAGUGAAGAAGGCCUUCGGGUUGUAAAGCUCUUUUGUCAGGGAAGAAACGGUGGACUCUAAUACAGAUCACUAAUGACGGUACCUGAAGAAUAAGCACCGGCUAACUACGUGCCAGCAGCCGCGGUAAUACGUAGGGUGCAAGCGUUAAUCGGAAUUACUGGGCGUAAAGCGUGCGCAGGCGGUUGUGCAAGACAGAUGUGAAAUCCCCGGGCUCAACCUGGGAAUUGCAUUUGUGACUGCACGGCUAGAGUGUGUCAGAGGGGGGUAGAAUUCCACGUGUAGCAGUGAAAUGCGUAGAGAUGUGGAGGAAUACCGAUGGCGAAGGCAGCCCCCUGGGAUAACACUGACGCUCAUGCACGAAAGCGUGGGGAGCAAACAGGAUUAGAUACCCUGGUAGUCCACGCCCUAAACGAUGUCUACUAGUUGUUGGGUCUUAAUUGACUUAGUAACGCAGCUAACGCGUGAAGUAGACCGCCUGGGGAGUACGGUCGCAAGAUUAAAACUCAAAGGAAUUGACGGGGACCCGCACAAGCGGUGGAUGAUGUGGAUUAAUUCGAUGCAACGCGAAAAACCUUACCUACCCUUGACAUGUACGGAAUCCCUGAGAGAUUAGGGAGUGCUCGAAAGAGAACCGUAACACAGGUGCUGCAUGGCUGUCGUCAGCUCGUGUCGUGAGAUGUUGGGUUAAGUCCCGCAACGAGCGCAACCCUUGUCAUUAGUUGCUACGAAAGGGCACUCUAAUGAGACUGCCGGUGACAAACCGGAGGAAGGUGGGGAUGACGUCAAGUCCUCAUGGCCCUUAUGGGUAGGGCUUCACACGUCAUACAAUGGUACAUACAGAGGGCCGCCAACCCGCGAGGGGGAGCUAAUCCCAGAAAGUGUAUCGUAGUCCGGAUUGUAGUCUGCAACUCGACUACAUGAAGUUGGAAUCGCUAGUAAUCGCGGAUCAGCAUGUCGCGGUGAAUACGUUCCCGGGUCUUGUACACACCGCCCGUCACACCAUGGGAGCGGGUUUCACCAGAAGUAGGUAGCCUAACCGUAAGGAGGGCGCUUACCACGGUGGGAUUCGUGACUGGGGUGAAGUCGUAACAAGGUAGCCGUAUCGAAGGUGCGGCUG
Molecule: ribosomal RNA, 1512 nt
Filed under: metagenome
Description: bacterial SSU rRNA
Rfam family: Bacterial small subunit ribosomal RNA
Source: RNAcentral